This 176-nucleotide microRNA precursor is filed under the name Oryza brachyantha (malo sina). RNAcentral's name for it is "MIR812 microRNA precursor family". It matches the Rfam family "MIR812 microRNA precursor family", at positions 19 to 188 of the family's 205-position model. Lineage: Eukaryota; Viridiplantae; Streptophyta; Magnoliopsida; Poales; Poaceae. The record is from Rfam by way of RNAcentral.
UGUCAUUUUUUCGUGUCCAACGUUUGACCAUUCGUUUUAUUUAAAAAUUUAUAAAAAAUUUUAAAAAAUUGUCACGUAUAAAAUACUAUUUAUAUUUUAUCAUCUAGUAACAAUAAAAAUAUUAAUCGCAAAAAAAUUUUAAAUAAGACGAAUGGUCAAACGUUAGACAUAGAAAA